GACGAACGCUGGCGGCGUGCUUAACACAUGCAAGUCGAACGGAAAGGCCCUGCUUUUGUGGGGUGCUCGAGUGGCGAACGGGUGAGUAACACGUGAGUAACCUGCCCUUGACUUUGGGAUAACUUCAGGAAACUGGGGCUAAUACCGGAUAGGAGCUCCUGCUGCAUGGUGGGGGUUGGAAAGUUUCGGCGGUUGGGGAUGGACUAGCGGCUUAUCAGCUUGUUGGUGGGGUAGUGGCUUACCAAGGCUUUGACGGGUAGCCGGCCUGAGAGGGUGACCGGCCACAAUAGGACUGAGAUACGGCCCAGACUCCUACGGGAGGCAGCAGUGGGGAAUAUUGCACAAUGAGCGGAAGCCUGAUGCAGCAACGCCGCGUGCGGGAUGACGGCCUUCGGGUUGUAAACCGCUUUCGCCUGUGACGAAGCGUGAGUGACGGUAAUGGGUAAAGAAGCACCGGCUAACUACGUG
This 468-nucleotide ribosomal RNA is filed under the name uncultured bacterium. Its description in RNAcentral is "partial 16S ribosomal RNA". It matches the Rfam family "Bacterial small subunit ribosomal RNA", at positions 28 to 507 of the family's 1533-position model. The record is from RNAcentral.